Long non-coding RNA from Papaver somniferum (opium poppy), 1649 nucleotides. RefSeq lists it as uncharacterized. NCBI's taxonomy places the organism in Eukaryota, Viridiplantae, Streptophyta, Magnoliopsida, Ranunculales, Papaveraceae. The record is from RefSeq and is a predicted model, not a curated record. The transcript has 8 exons.
UUUACUCCCCCUUCUAUUACGGCGCGCAUGAAAUUACUACUGAUAUAGCUUUUUGCGAUUGUUUGAGGUUGGAGAUCAACGGGAUCUGAUAAAGAAGCUAUUCUUGAAAUAUUAGGGUUUUUCCACGGCUUUUCAUGAUUGUUUGAGGUUGAAGAUCAACAGAAUCUGAUUUGGAAGCUAUUCUUGAAAUAUUAGGGUUCUCCGACGGGGUUUUGGCAGGCUUUAGAGAAUCAAUCACUUGGAAGAUAACGAUUAUGUUCAGUACUACAUCAAUGGCGAUAAAGUUUGCACUAAAGAGGGAGUCCAAGGUAUUGGAGAGUGGCAUGCUUUGAGGUUAAUUAUUAAAAUUGGUACUUUGAGAUCUACUUCCUAGAAUGUCUUAGAUCAAGUAACGGAGGAAGCACCAAAAAGGUGAAGGUUUAUAAGUCCUAACGUGAUUUAGGGUUUAUUCCUUUUCUUUUUUUUGGAUGUAAAGGUUUGAUUUGCUGUGUUUUGAUUUUUACUGAAAGCCAGACGUGAUUUGGGUUUUGUGGACAAUAAGAUCAUAUACUCUUUUGAUGUCAUCGACAGAUGCACAAGUGUAUAAAGUAACGGUUUAUGGUGCAGACCCAUCAGGAAAAACAGAUAGCAACGAAAGCUCUGCAGCAAGCACUUUUUGACGCUUUUAAUGCGGCAACAACAAUGGCAAACGAAAAUGAUAAUGUUAAUGAGGCAUCUGCAAUCUUGGAGGUCCUUAAAUUAACCUCGAACAAAGUACACAUACUAUCAGCCGUCCUUUACAUUAACAACCCAUAGUAGUACAUUUCUAUAUGCCGAAUUCACCUGCAAAGAGAUGGCUAAUGCACGUAGUGAUAUUCUGCGAACAAUAAUACUUUUGGUUUAACAGAUCCAUGGAGGAUCAUUAUGGGCAUCUGAUAGACUCUUAAAUGAUGGAUUCACGCAUUGUUUUCAUCGAGAAAAACACACGGCUUGCUUGGUACUGCAGAACUUUGCUGAGAACUUAGCAGUCCAUACUCACUAACAUCCAUACUCCUAUCAUUCUUUUAUUUUUUGUUGCAUUAAAUUUUCAUGCGAAAUUAGCAUUUAGAAUUUUUUUGAAACAUGUAGGAUCGAGGAAAGGAAACUAUAGCAAACAUAUCCACGAGCCACACCAAAUUCAAGGUUUAGCAUACCGCCCCGCCUCACCAAAUUCAAGGUUUACUGAUCAAAAUCAUGCGACACCAAAAUCAAAAAUUCAUCUGGACGAGGCAAGGUGAAGCCGUGCGACACCAAAUCAAAAAUGCAUCCGAGCGAGGCGAAGCCGAGCCACACCAAAUCAAAUCGGGACGGGGCGAGACGAGGCGAAGCCGAGCUUUACCAAAUCAAAAACAUAGUUAAAAGAAAAAGAUGCAUGAUGCAUAGAAGACAUGGCCCAAAUGAUGGUGGAUGGUUUUGGGUUCCGCCCGAUGCUUUAUCAAAUCAUCCGGACUGGGCGAGGCGAAGCCGAGCUUUACCAAAUAAAAAUUACCAAGUAAUAAAUAUGGUUUAAAGAAAGAUGCAGUGAUGCGUAACUAUCCCAUUCUAUUUGUAGUUGUAGUUUGAAUGGGUGAACCAAGUUUGCGAAGCCGCCCGGACGUAGCACGGGCACAAAAUCUAGUUGUAAACUACAA